This 222-nucleotide long non-coding RNA is filed under the name Elaeis guineensis (African oil palm). RNAcentral describes it as "long non-coding RNA (EGUI_LNC026374)". The record is from RNAcentral. Lineage: Eukaryota; Viridiplantae; Streptophyta; Magnoliopsida; Arecales; Arecaceae.
UGGUCCACUUUCUUGUGACACGGUGCCCUUAAAAGAGGCCCCACUAUAGGUCUUUGGACUUGCAGGUUGAGGAGCCCAAAACGGAACUUUACAAAGUACAGCAAGGAAACGAUUACUCGUGUAGAUGGGCAUUGAGGAACGCGUGUGGGAGAGGAAUUACUCCCCUUAUGAAUUGAAUGGGGAAUAGUGAGAGCGUGGAAUACUAUAUAAGAAUUGCAUUGG